GUCCUUUUGAAUUUAAUUUAAGGUCUGACCUGCCCAGUGAUGAAUUUAACGGCCGCGGUAUACUGACCGUGCAAAGGUAGCAUAAUCAUUAGUCUUUUAAUAGAGGGCUGGAAUGAACGGUUUCACGAGGAACUGACUGUCUCAUUUUAUUUGUUUUAAAAUUUAAUUUUUUAGUUAAAAAGCUAAAAUUUCGUUGGAAGACGAGAAGACCCUAUAGAUCUUUAUAUGAAUUUUUGUAUUUAUUUAUUUAUUAACAUAAUUACAAUAAAAUCGUAUUUUGUUGGGGUGACAAAAAUAUAUAAUCAACUUUUUCAUUUAUUUACCAUUGAUAUAUGAAUAUUAGAUCCAUUAUUAGUGAUUGAUAGACUAAGUUACCUUAGGGAUAACAGCGUAAUCCUCCUCCAGAGUUCAUAUUUACAGGAGGGCUUGCGACCUCGAUGUUGGAUUAAGAUAAUAAUUAGGUGUAGCCGCUUAAUUUAUAGGUCUGUUCGACCUUUAAAUUCUU
This 505-nucleotide ribosomal RNA is filed under the name Sympetrum striolatum. RNAcentral describes it as "partial 16S ribosomal RNA". It matches the Rfam family "Bacterial large subunit ribosomal RNA", at positions 1819 to 2597 of the family's 2925-position model. Lineage: Eukaryota; Metazoa; Arthropoda; Insecta; Odonata; Libellulidae. The record is from RNAcentral.